AUGGUCAUGAAACGGUGUGUUUGGGGAAGACGUAGGGUUUUAUCUUGUGACUGUUCAGCUUCCCGAGUUAAGACAAAAUCCCCUAUUCUCUAUCGCGGGACUCAAUGGCGUCGUAUCUCCACUGUCGAUCAACUUUGUUCAUUGCUGAUUGUUCGUUCUCCGGCAUUCCUCUUCUUCACAUAUCAAACCCCAACCUCUCGCGUCUUGGUAUCGUUUGUUUUGCCAAUCCAAACUUCAAACUUCUUCCAUCUUAAUCUGUCUUCGUCGGCCAACAACACCGUUCUUAACAAGAAUCUCUCCUCCUUUUCCUCAAAAAUAUCAUCUCUUCUGAUCCGAAUGAAGGCAAAUCACAAUAUAACGAAAAAUAUGAAGGAAGACGAAAUAACAACGUUUACCUACCAGAGACGAGUCUGGCGCUCCUUUGGCGGAGGCCAUGAGAAAGCAUAA
Molecule: non-coding RNA, 447 nt
Organism: Vicia faba (fava bean)
Lineage: Eukaryota; Viridiplantae; Streptophyta; Magnoliopsida; Fabales; Fabaceae
Source: the annotation of a GenBank genome assembly